GACGAACGCUGGCGGCGUGCCUAAUACAUGCAAGUAGAACGCUGAAGGAGGAGCUUGCUUCUCUGGAUGAGUUGCGAACGGGUGAGUAACGCGUAGGUAACCUGCCUGGUAGCGGGGGAUAACUAUUGGAAACGAUAGCUAAUACCGCAUAAUAGUAGAUGUCGCAUGACAUUUGCUUAAAAGGUGCAAUUGCAUCACUACCAGAUGGACCUGCGUUGUAUUAGCUAGUUGGUGAGGUAACGGCUCACCAAGGCAACGAUACAUAGCCGACCUGAGAGGGUGAUCGGCCACACUGGGACUGAGACACGGCCCAGACUCCUACGGGAGGCAGCAGUAGGGAAUCUUCGGCAAUGGACGGAAGUCUGACCGAGCAACGCCGCGUGAGUGAAGAAGGUUUUCGGAUCGUAAAUCUCUGUUGUAAGAGAAGAACGAGUGUGAGAGUGGAAAGUUCACACUGUGACGGUAUCUGACCAGAAAGGGACGGCUAACUACGUG
This 495-nucleotide ribosomal RNA is filed under the name uncultured bacterium. RNAcentral describes it as "partial 16S ribosomal RNA". It matches the Rfam family "Bacterial small subunit ribosomal RNA", at positions 28 to 507 of the family's 1533-position model. The record is from RNAcentral.